Molecule: long non-coding RNA, 195 nt
Organism: Gymnodraco acuticeps
Lineage: Eukaryota; Metazoa; Chordata; Actinopteri; Perciformes; Bathydraconidae
Exons: 3
Source: RefSeq, a predicted model, not a curated record
UGGGGUGGCAGAAGUCAGGACGGGGCAGGAAACACAGUGGGAGAGGAAGUAGAGCAGGUGAACAGCUUUCUCUCCAGGGCAGCUCUGGUCACAAAAUACAUGACAAAAUCAGGAAGAGUGAACAUGCUUACUCAACAGGCCAUGGGAUGGAACAGAAGGAAGAGGGACAACCUUCAUCAAGUUUUAGCACACAGA